UCCAGACUCCUACGGGAGGCAGCAGUGAGGAAUAUUGGUCAAUGGGCGAGAGCCUGAACCAGCCAAGUCGCGUGAGGGAGUACUGCCCUAUGGGUUGUAAACCUCUUUUGUCGGGGAGCAAAAGCCGGACGUGUCCGGCUGUGAGAGUACCCGUAGAACAAGCAUCGGCUAACUCCGUGCCAGCAGCCGCGGUAAUACGGAGGAUGCGAGCGUUAUCCGGAUUUAUUGGGUUUAAAGGGUGCGCAGGCGGCACGGCAAGCCGGCGGUCAAAUCGCGGGGCUCAACCCCGCCCAGCCGUCGGAACUGCCGGGCUAGAGUGGGCGAGAAGUGCGCGGAAUGCGCGGUGUAGCGGUGAAAUGCAUAGAUAUCACGCAGAACCCCGAUUGCGAAGGCAGCAUACCGGCGCUCAACUGACGCUGAGGCACGAAAGUGCGGGUAUCGAACAGGAUUAGAUACCCCUGUAUAC
This 466-nucleotide ribosomal RNA is filed under the name uncultured bacterium. RNAcentral's name for it is "bacterial SSU rRNA". It matches the Rfam family "Bacterial small subunit ribosomal RNA", at positions 330 to 795 of the family's 1533-position model. The record is from RNAcentral.